Molecule: ribosomal RNA, 468 nt
Filed under: uncultured bacterium
Lineage: Bacteria
Description: partial 16S ribosomal RNA
Rfam family: Bacterial small subunit ribosomal RNA
Source: RNAcentral
GACGAACGCUGGCGGCGUGCUUAACACAUGCAAGUCGAACGGAAAGGCCCUGCUCUUGUGGGGUGCUCGAGUGGCGAACGGGUGAGUAACACGUGAGUAACCUGCCCUUGACUUUGGGAUAACUUCAGGAAACUGGGGCUAAUACCGGAUAGGAGCUCCUGCUGCACGGGGGGGGAUGGAAAGUUUCGGCUGUUGGGGAUGGUCUGGCGGCUUAUCAGCUUGUUGGUGGGGUAGUGGCUUACCAAGGCUUUGACGGGUAGCCGGCCUGAGAGGGUGACCGGCCACAUUGGGACUGAGAUACGGCCCAGACUCCUACGGGCGGCAGCAGUGGGGAAUAUUGCACAAUGGGCGGAAGCCUGAUGCAGCAACGCCGCGUGCGGGAUGACGGCCUUCGAGUUGUAAACCGCUUUCGCCUGUGACGAAGCGGGAGUGACGGUAAUGGAUAAAGAAGCACCGGCUAACUACGUG